Molecule: ribosomal RNA, 500 nt
Filed under: uncultured Glomeromycotina
Lineage: Eukaryota; Fungi; Glomeromycota
Description: partial small subunit ribosomal RNA
Rfam family: Eukaryotic small subunit ribosomal RNA
Source: RNAcentral
CCAAUAGCGUAUAUUAAAGUUGUUGCAGUUAAAAAGCUCGUAGUUGAACCUCGGGAUCAAUGGAUCGGUCAUGCCAUCGGUAUGUACUGGUCUCAUUGGUUCUCACCUUCUAAGGAACCAUGAUGUCAUUCAGUUGAUGUUGUGGGGAAUUAGGACUGUUACCUUGAAAAAAUUAGAGUGUUUAAAGCAGGCUAACGCUUGAAUACAUUAGCAUGGAAUAAUGAAAUAGGACAUCGCAUUCUAUUUUGUUGGUUUCUAGGAUCGAUGUAAUGAUUAAUAGGGAUAGUUGGGGGCAUUAGUAUUCAAUUGUCAGAGGUGAAAUUCUUGGAUUUAUUGAAGACUAACUACUGCGAAAGCAUUUGCCAAGGAUGUUUUCAUUAAUCAAGAACGAAAGUUAGGGGAUCGAAGACGAUCAGAUACCGUCGUAGUCUUAACCAUAAACUAUGCCGACUAGGGAUCGGAUGAUGUUGAUUUUUUAAUGACUCAUUCGGCGCCUUACG